Molecule: long non-coding RNA, 736 nt
Organism: Perca fluviatilis (European perch)
Lineage: Eukaryota; Metazoa; Chordata; Actinopteri; Perciformes; Percidae
Exons: 4
Source: RefSeq, a predicted model, not a curated record
UAUAAACUGCUCUCUCUGCCUCCUCAGCAUCACAGACCUACAACACAGACAGUGUCCAUAGUCACCACGUCACCAACAGUGAAAACUUGUCAAAGAUGGAGAGAAUGUCUGAUAAAGAGGUGCUUUUGAAAAUACUGGAAGAAUUGUCAGAUAAGGAAUUCAAGACGUUCCAGUGGUUCCUGCAGGAUCCUGACUUCCUGGUAGGAUUCCAGGCCAUCCCAAAGAACCAACUGGAACACGCAGACAGGAUAGACACAGUCGAUAAGAUCCUACAUCACUUCAGCCGUCAGUCUGUGGAAGUGGUGAAGAAGGUUUUAAAGCAUGUCGAUAGGAAUGAUCUGGUGGAGAAAUGUUAAAGCACCAGCCCAGGAGCACAAGGCAUGUUUCCAUGGAGACAACCUGAGGUCUGUUCUUCACCCAACACAAUGUUGGAGGAUCCACUCUCUCUACAGACCCCUACCCCACCCCAGACCACCAGCCCCAGUGCAACCACACUGCCUGCAGUGAGGACCCCCCCUGCUGUUUAAUGUUGAGUAGAGCAGCUCCCUCCCUCUAGUUCACAAGCUGAAGUCAGAUCAUGUUGAAUAUGAAUCAGUCUAAUAAAGUUCAAGUCAAACACAAUCAAACUUGUGAUGUUUAGUAUUUGAUAUGAAACAUUGUUGAUAUAAAAUAAUUGGAGGACAUUGAGACAAACUCACCACCUUUUGGUAAUGUUUCCUUCAUUCCUUUUGUCUCA